AUGCUAGGAUGUCGGGCAGCCCCAACCCCAAUUGAUCAAAACCACAAAGUGACUGCUCAGUCAGGAGAGCCAAUGGAUAAGGAGAGCUAUCAGCGAUUGGUGGGAAGAUUGUUGUACUUGUGUCAUACACAACCGGACAUUGCAUUUGCAGUAAGUGUUGUGAGAAGAUACAUGCAUGAGCCUAGAAGUGGACAUCUUGACGCAGUACAUAGAAUCUUGAGAUACUUGAAAGGUUCUCCUGGGAAAGGACUGUUGUUCAAGAGUUAUGGACAUCUUGUUGUAGAUUGUUAUUGUGAUGCUGAUUGGGCUAGCUGUCUGGAUGACAGGAGGUCAACUUCAGGCUAUUGUGUCUUUGUAGGACGAAAUCUAGUAUCUUGGAGAAGCAAGAAACAACCUGGUGUUUCCAAAUCAACUGCAGAGGCGAAUAUAGAGCCAUGUCCGAGGGACCGAGUGAGAUGUUGUGGACCAGAAAUCUAUUGGCAGAAUUGA
This 489-nucleotide ribosomal RNA is filed under the name Triticum aestivum (bread wheat). RNAcentral describes it as "partial small subunit ribosomal RNA". Lineage: Eukaryota; Viridiplantae; Streptophyta; Magnoliopsida; Poales; Poaceae. The record is from RNAcentral.